GCCAACAGCGACGUCGGCACAAAGUGCACACGCCAUAUAAUGGCAUAUAUCCGAAUCUGGGCUUCGGCUGGCCAGAUGCCACAGCAUCAGUCGCUUUCCCGAUCUGGAGGGGUCUGGUCCAAGUAGUAGUACUAGUACUAGCAGAAAAAUCUGUUGGAGAACCGCUCUGUCCUCCAAAAGAGGCAUACUUUUGGGCUGCCCCGUGUUAAUAAUUCGGUUAAUAAUUCCUUUUUCCAAUUUCACUUCCCCUAUUUUUGAGUCAACUAAUAGCCAAGGGUUAAGUGUAUUAGUGACUCAGCUUUCGUGGCUGGUUCCUUCGAUCGUGAGUCAGGCCCACAAUUGCGGCCAACUCGCUUUCGACAUUGACCAGACGAAGGCAUUGGGGCAAGGAGAGCCGGCCACUGGGCCAGGCCGAUAUCUCGGAGCCAGGCCAGACCAGAGCAGCUGUCAAGGUUGGAGAGAAAGAGUCACGCAUGUGGGGAGAGUGGAUAGAGAGGAGAGGAAAGGUUGACCCAUACACCGACAUGAAAUUCCAUAAUAAAUUAGCCGCCAAGUGAGCGGGUUAGCCUGUUUUUGAAAGGCCUGCCUGCCCGCCUGCCUGCUGCUGCUCCACUGGGCGGCUAAUUAUUAUUCACGUGUAGAAUGUACUCGGCUUGGAUCGGCUCCAAUGUCAUUGCCACGGCCUCAGAGCACCGUCCGGAAGGUUAUUGCUGCCUGGGCUUCUAAUCUUCCACAGUGAGUGAGUGGUGCUCUUAACAACAACAAUAACAACAACAAGAAUAAUAAUGUGUUACGGUAAAAAUAACAACAACUCGACGUCAUCGGUAGAUAAUUUGGGAGUGAGAGCGGAAGAUUGAGAAGCUUCUGAUAAGACAGAGCCCGUCCGUCCGUCCAUCCCUCCGUCCGACAGAGCCGAUUUUGUAGGUGACCCCAGGCGAAGAGCGCGUUUGAAGGGCGCCACCACCUGACGGUACAGUGAUCGCCAGGAGUAUGCGCACAGAAAGUGGCAAGUCCAUCCCACUACUUACCCUCUUUUGUGGCUGCCAUUGUGCUGGAAAGGAGCUUCCGUUGGCUGUCGAUUGAAGAAAAACACACAAACGAAACCGUAAAAAAAAGGCAGAAGAAAAAGCAACUCUUUUGGCCCGCUUUUUUUUUAACAAUUAACCCGCUGUUGCGUUGCUCGCCGCGAUUUCACAAGCCUAGCGCUGUUUGCUCGCUCGCCGGAUGUCCAAACAACUGCCUGAUGGUUGAUGGUUGAUGGAUACUUGGCCACAAGAGACGGUGGACGCGUGCGUGAUGGGAUUCGGCUUGGGGAUUCGGUCAGCGGAGUUGCGGAUUCACGGAAUUGCGGUGGACUUGCGGAGCGUGGCCCUCGGAGCACAGAGUAAUGGAGCCAAGCGCGAUCGUUCCCUGACUGCGCCAGGCCGAGCACACAAAGCGUGCAUGAAGCAUUGGGCCGAUGGAACGAUGGAGCGAUGGAGCGUUGUAGCGGCGGCGGCACUGCCAAUGGCAACAACAGAAACGACGCUUUGUAACCGACGGCCGCGAUCGGCCAGGGACGGACUCGGGCGCCGAGGGUACUCUGGGCUCAGGGCACCAUUUCAUAUCUGUUCUGAUUUUUUGAAUAUAAUUAAUAUAAUUUUAAUAUAUUAAUAUAAUUUUGUAUAUAUUAAUAUAAUAUAAUUAAUAUAAUUUUGUAUAAAUUUUAUAAUUUUGUAUAUAAUUAAAUUUUAUACAAGUUUAUAGAUAUUAUACAUAAAUAAUAAAAAAUGUAUCAAUCCAUAAAUAUAUUAACUUAUAAAAUGUGUUUAUUGAAUUCCACAUCAGCUUAGUUUUGUCUGAAUAAUUAUGAAAAGUCACGUCUUUGGUCUAAACUUAUUUAAAAAGAAUUAAAAUCCAUACAUUUAAGAGCCAAGGCUCUUAAAAUACCUCAAUAGAAAGUUCAAGUUUAUUUAUUUUACCAAAUAAAGGCACCCAAAACGUAAGGGACUAUUAAAUAUACAUAUUUAUUAAAAAUUAAAAAGUAUAUGAAGAAUUUGUAAUUUAAAUUUUUACAGAAUUUCUUUUUUUAUUUUCUCUUUUUCAUAGCACCUACUAAUCCAAAAUUUUACAUUUUAAGAUAAUAGAUUAUUUUUUUUUUAUUAUACAAGCCAGUAUUAGAAAAAUGUAUCCUUUUAAAUCUUACAAAUAUUUAUUCAUCUGUGAAAUAAUUUUGCAAAUAUACAUUCCUAUAGUUUUCCGUCUCGACACCAAUAAACAAGCCAAUAUAAAUUAGUUUCAUUUAUUACACAUAUAGUAUUCUUAAUAAUUGAAUUAUUUAGUAUUGUUUUCGCCUGGUAGCACCCACUGCGGCCCCCGGCUAUGGUUUGUAACUUUGCGGCGCACAGGCCGCAGUGGCAUUGGGUUAUCCUAAUUAUUUUAUUGUGGCUGCAGACGGUAUCCUCCGUCCCAACAAGUCGUUUAGUUUCAUAAAAAAAAAAAUUAAAAGAAUUAAAAAGAAAGGUACACUCCUUCCCCGCUGAUCCGCCCACUCCGUCCCUGACUUAGCCGGUUCUCUGUCAUGCACUCAUCCGCAUACGCACAUACACUCACACGCAAGCACACACUCACACACACACACACACACACACACACACUGGCAAGUGUGGAGCACCGCAUGCGAUUGCUUUGCUGGCUGGUUCUCUGUUUACGCGAAACGGUUAAAGGUGGAGUAUGUAGGUGGAUGGUGGGGCUUGGGACUGGGGGGUGGGGGCUCGGGGCUUGGAGAGACGAGAAAGGGUAGCCGGCCAGUGUUGCCAGUCGAAUGAAAUUGAAAAUGGGUAUCGGAAUUAAUGUUAAAAAAAAAAAAAAACUAAAAAUCAACCUGGGACGAAAAACAAAACAGAUUUCUUGUACUAACAAGGAAAACGAACGCA
Drosophila ananassae is the source of this 2915-nucleotide long non-coding RNA. RefSeq lists it as uncharacterized. NCBI's taxonomy places the organism in Eukaryota, Metazoa, Arthropoda, Insecta, Diptera, Drosophilidae. The record is from RefSeq and is a predicted model, not a curated record. The transcript has 2 exons.